RNAcentral lists this ribosomal RNA (1714 nucleotides) under Lychaete pellucida. RNAcentral's name for it is "SSU rRNA". It matches the Rfam family "Eukaryotic small subunit ribosomal RNA". Lineage: Eukaryota; Viridiplantae; Chlorophyta; Ulvophyceae; Cladophorales; Cladophoraceae. The record is from RNAcentral.
CCUGUAUACCGGAAACUGCGAAUGGCUCGGUAAAUCAGUUAUAGUUUAUUUGAUAGUGCAACCUACUCGGAUAACCGUAGUAACACUAGAGCUAAUACGUGCGUAAAUCCCGACUUUUGGAAGGGACGUAUUUAUUAGAUUGAUGGCUAACCGGGCUUGCCCGACCAGCGGUGAAUCAUGGUAACUUGGCGGAUUGCAUGGCCUUUGUGCCGGCGACGUGUCAUUCAAGUUUCUGCCCCMRUCAGGUUUCGACUGUAGUGUAUUGGACUACAGUGCCUAUAACGGGUAGCGGAGGAUUAGGGUUCGAUUCCGGAGAGGGAGCCUGAGAAACGGCUNNNACAUCCAAGGAAGGCAGCAGGCGCGCAAAUUACCCAAUCCCAAUUCAGGGAGGUAGUGACAAGAAAUAACAAUGCGGMRSUUCGUGUUCUGCAAUUGAAAUGAGAACAAUUUAAACCACUUAACGAGUAUCAAUUGGAGGGCAAGUCUGGUGCCAGCAGCCGCGUAAUUCCAGCUCCAAUAGCGUAUAUGUAAGUUGUUGCGAUUAAAAAGCCCGUAGCUGAACCUCGGGCAGCCCUGAUGGUCCGCCAAUGGUGAGUACUGUCGCGGGCUGUCUUUCUGCCACGCGCCGUAUCCCGUGGUUUAAUCACCGGGAACGGAGCUUGGCAAGGUUACUUUGAGUAAAAUAGAGUGUUCAAAGCAAGCACGCGCUCUGAAUACACUAGCAUGGGAUAACACGACAUGACCGAUGGUCUAUCUUGUUGGCCUGUAGACCCGUUGGUAAUGGCUAAUAGGGACGGUCGGGGGCAUUCGUAUUUCGCUGUCAGAGGUGAAAUUCUUGGAUUUGCGAAAGACGAACUACUGCGAAAGCAUUUGCCAAGGACGCUUUCAUUAGUCAAGGACGAAAGUCGGGGGAUCGAAGACGAUUAGAUACCGUCGUAGUCUCGACCAUAAACGAUGCCAAUUAGGGAUUGGAGGGCGGAUUCAAUAUGCCUCCUCCAGCACCUUCCGCGAAAGCAAAAUUUAUGGGCUUCGGGGGGAGUAUGGUCGCAAGGCUGAAACUUAAAGGAAUUGACGGAACGGCACCACCAGGCGUGGAGCUGCGGCUUAAUUUGACUCAACACGGGGAAACUUACCAGGUCCAGACAGAAGUAGGAUUUACAGAUUGAUAGCUCUUUAAAGAUUUUUUGGAUGGUGGUGCAUGGCCGUUCUUAGUUCGUGGAUUGAUUUGUCAGGUUGAUUCCGGUAACGGACGAGACCCCAACCUACUAACUAGCCCGUGCUAAUUCUUAGCCCGCCGGCUUCUUAGAGGGACUCUCGGAUAGAAACCGAAGGAGGUGGGGCAAUAACAGGUCUGUGAUGCCCUUAGAUGUCCUGGGCCGCACGCGCGCUACACUGAUGCAUUCAACGAGCCUACCCUGUGCCGAGAGGUAUGGGUAAUCUGCGAAACUGCAUCGUGAUGGGGCUAGAUUAUUGCAAUUAUUGAUCUUUAACGAGGAAUGCCUAGUAAGCGCGAGUCAUCAACUCGCUUGAUUACGUCCCUGCCGUUUGUACACACCGCCCGUCGCUCCUACCGAUUGGGUGUGCUGGUGAAAUGUUCGGAUUGGACGGCCUUCCGUCAGGGGGCCGCUUGAGAAGUUCAUUGAACCCUCUCACCUAGAGGAAGGAGAAGUCGUAACAAGGUCUCCGUAGGUGAACCUGCGGAGGGAUCCAUAGC